ACGUGGAUGCGACAGCGACGCGCUGCGCAUACCCAGAAGCGCUGUAUCCGUGCGCGUCGGUAUCCCGGCGCGUGUGCGCUGUGCGGUGUGCAGCCUUUGCGCCCACGCCCACGCACGUCCGCCUACCGAAGAGGAGCACAGGUGAACGAGAAGGCGGCAAGCGGGUGAAACGAUCGAAAGUGUGCGGUGCCACUCGCGCGUGCGUGUGGGUGUAGGCGCGACGGCGAGCAAUGCAGCGCCGCGAACCACCCGUGCGUGCCGCAUGUCCUUCCAGCCCAUCUGUGUUCUGUGCCUCGGUGACUGCAACAGGGACGGCAGCGUCACAUCGUGCAACCACUACCUCUGCUCGCGUUGCGUCUCCCGCCUACCAGCCGCUGCGCCCUGUCCGCUAUGUCAGCAGCCAUACCAGCUCGUUAAGCUUGACCACCCCAAUGUGCAGCAGCUGCUGCAAGACGGUGCAACGGUACUUGGGAGAGCGGAAAAAGUGAUCAUCUCUCAAGUGCGGCACUACCAGCAAGUCAUCCGUCGCAUGCGCCAGGCGCUGGCGAUGCUGCAUGGCCAAAACCAGGACAUGGCACGGCAGAGUCAGCGGAAGCAGGCAGAGUGCGCCGCGGCAGUGUCGCAAGUGCAAGCGCUUCAGGAGGAGGUGUGCCGGCUGCGCGAGGAGCUGGCACACGCCACCGCUGCGGCCACCCGUGCAUACUCGCAAAGAAAGACGUCACAACAGCAGUCGCAGCCCCCGCCACCACAGCAACAACGCGCGCACAUGCUGGCGGACCCGCGAGCUACCCAUGCCAGCGACGGGUACCCGCACGGCGCACCGAGGACCGUCGAGGUUUGCCAUACGCCGGCGGGGCAGAUCAUCCCACCCCCAUUGACGGGGCGCCAUGCCCCCUUCCUACCUGCCGGCGUGGUCGGUGCUAGGGCAUCAGACACCUCUCCACGUGGCAGCUGGCCGCGCCCGUCUGUGGCAUCGUCACCUUCGCCGUCCUCUCACUCGCAUGGGCAGCACCGACGACACCAGUCGCACGGAAACGGUGGCGAGUCACGCGGCGCUGCCGCUAGUGAGACGUCGACGUCGUCCGCCGUCGGAGCAGCGCCGCCCCUCGGGUGGUCAGCAAGCUCCCUCAUCGCGAAACGCCACCGCUCUGACUCAAACCCGUCGCUGCCGCGGAGACGCGUGGAUGAUAUCCGUGCGUCAUUGCCACAGCCGGCCGCUAGCGUGGGCGCCGGUGCCAAGGUCGCGCUCACACCUCGCACCCACGCCACGGUGCCUCCGCAACAGCGGCCGCCGCACCAGAGUUCCCAUGCCUUUGCACGUCAGCCAGGGAGCGGUGGCGGCGACUCCCCUGGGCCGAGCAUCGACUUCUGGCUCACAACGCCGCUGGCCGCCGCAGCGCAGCAGCAGUCGCGCCGCCCUGACUCUUUCAUGCCAUCUGGCACCUCGUACGUGUCCAGGCCGUCAUCGAAGCCGCUCCAACGACUCUUUUCGUCACCACGCGACGGCCCUAGAUCCUUCUAGCCAUCUCCCUUGCUCGGCCUCCUCCCUUUUCGCCUCCGCUCAGCAGCGUGCGCUGCACGGCAAAGCGUGUCUCACGCGUCGUGGAGAGGGGCAUCCCCCUCUGCUCUGCUCUCCCACUCCUCGUGUGCGCGGCGAGUGUUGGCGAGCCACGACUGUGUACAUGAAACACUUUCUUGAUGCUUGAGCUCCCACGGACACCUCCGCCUCUCUCGCGUGGCUCUUCUUCGCACGUUUCUAGUCGUUCAUGCAUCUGCUACCGCUACGACGCACAAAGCCAGCAAACACCGAUACAGGCAUAGACGCAUGCAUAUGUCUGUCUGUUUGGUGUCUUCCUUUCCCCUCUCUCUGCUGCUGCUGCCACUCCGCUGCUCAAGGUACUCUCCCGCCCUCUUGAUACAUCGACCUGCUCGUCUCCUCGCACACUUCCUGCAUCGGCGCACAUACACUCGG
RNAcentral lists this unclassified non-coding RNA (1972 nucleotides) under Leishmania donovani. RNAcentral describes it as "gene:LdHU3.13.0280(CDS-product:hypothetical_prote in_conserved)". The record is from RNAcentral. Lineage: Eukaryota; Euglenozoa; Kinetoplastea; Trypanosomatida; Trypanosomatidae.